Molecule: long non-coding RNA, 1066 nt
Filed under: Homo sapiens (human)
Lineage: Eukaryota; Metazoa; Chordata; Mammalia; Primates; Hominidae
Description: HSALNT0153783
Source: RNAcentral
GCAAAGGCCCCAAGUGAUUCCCUAAAGACCUGGCCAGGAAUGCCUGAGUCUGGCCCAAAGGGCUUCCUAGGAAAGGGCCCACGUGCCGCGGCAGAAGCCACACAGCCAUGCUGCACCCCAGAGAGCGCCAAAGAAGAUCGAUUGACAACUGCAACAUGCAACGUGCCAGAUUUCUCUGGCAGUGCUCCAGCUAGUCAGAGCCAAUUAAUAUGAAACCAAUAGGCCAAAUCAACGUUUUCAGAAGUUAACUCAAAAAAAUCCCAGAAGAUUAACCAGCCUGUGGCCUUUGCUAUGAAAUUGUUACCACACCACUUUCUUUUCUUUUGAAAGUCCAGAUGGGCAGAUAAAUCCAAAGUGGAUCAACCACAUCUGCCAUUCCUCCACACAAAUUACACCCCCUCCCACAACUUCCCUCUUCCCUCUCCAGCAUGCAAAGCACUCAGGGCCUGGGCUGAAUUGACAUUUUAUGCCACACUGUAUGUUUUGAAUUCCUCAUUGUAUUAUGAGGAACUGCAUCAUGACCCCUCUGAGGCAAAGAGCUGGCAGAUUCUGAAAUUUGCCUUCUCCAAAGGUGAGAACUGCAUUUGUGGAGGGACGGCUUUCUUCCAGGCACAAAAUGAGCCAAGAGUAGAACCCAGCCCCGUUGGCUGCCUUCUCCAGUGUUCUGAACCGGUAUUCAAAUCAGCAAAGUCCAGCUCAUCUGGCCCCAAAGACCUGAGCAGAUCUGUCCUCUUCCUGCCUGGCCUGCCUCCAAAGUCUGAUGCCUGGUCCUUGUCUUGAUGUUGGCUUGAACUGGACAGUUUCUGUCAUUAUCCUGGCCACACAUUCAAGGUUACUUGAUGGAGAUGCCCUGAGGACUUUGGGAAUCUACAGCGUCUGCCGCAUGCCAGAUAUGACCUCACAGUGAUAAAAGUUGUUCUGCCUUUCUGGAACUUGCAACUCUGAGGCUUCAGCAAGAGGGCGACGCCUGAGCCCCUGCCCAUUUCUCCAAGCAUGCAGGCAUUAUAUAACUGCAUUGACAAACAGCCACCUGUCUCUGGCAGUGUGACCUGAAACCCAUUCUCUG